AACGAACGCUGGCGGCAUGCCUAACACAUGCAAGUCGAACGAAGUCUUCGGACUUAGUGGCGCACGGGUGCGUAACGCGUGGGAAUCUGCCCUUGGGUGCGGAAUAACUUCUCGAAAGGGAUGCUAAUACCGCAUAAUGUCGUAAGACCAAAGAUUUAUCGCCCAAGGAUGAGCCCGCGUAAGAUUAGCUAGUUGGUGGGGUAAAAGCCUACCAAGGCGACGAUCUUUAGCUGGUCUGAGAGGAUGAUCAGCCACACUGGGACUGAGACACGGCCCAGACUCCUACGGGAGGCAGCAGUGGGGAAUAUUGGACAAUGGGCGAAAGCCUGAUCCAGCAAUGCCGCGUGAGUGAUGUAGGCCUUAGGGUUGUAAAGCUCUUUUACCCGGGAUGAUAAUGACAGUACCGGGAGAAUAAGCUCCGGCUAACUCCGUGCCAGCAGCCGCGGUAAU
Molecule: ribosomal RNA, 450 nt
Filed under: uncultured bacterium
Lineage: Bacteria
Description: bacterial SSU rRNA
Rfam family: Bacterial small subunit ribosomal RNA
Source: RNAcentral